AUCACGACCCAGGGUACACCCAAGUGUCCACGAUGCAAAGAACUGUCCUCUAAGGAAGCACAGGUGAAAUGACAAUCUAUGAUCUCAGUGCUCUGCCCACUUCGCACAGUGCUCAGUUCUGGGUCACACACACACAGGUACAUCAGUUUGUAGUAACUGCCAUAAAAAGUGAAAUGCCCAAUGCCAUGGUUUAGAAGUCUAGAACACGCUAAAACUGGGAGAAGAGGAUGUUUUAUUUUUAUGUAGCCUCCAUUUCGCCUUCUCCCGAGGAACCUACAAGCAAGCAGCAUGCAUUCAUUUUGCUUUCAGACACGCUAGACUCGAGGAACAGAACCGUCUGGAACUCCUGCAGUGACCACCUAAUCAUGCAUCUAUCUGAUGGUCUCCUGGAAGGAUGGUGCCAUACGCACAUAGUUGCUUAUGUC
RNAcentral lists this long non-coding RNA (425 nucleotides) under Mus caroli (Ryukyu mouse). Its description in RNAcentral is "lncRNA (MGP_CAROLIEiJ_G0003870.1)". The record is from RNAcentral. Lineage: Eukaryota; Metazoa; Chordata; Mammalia; Rodentia; Muridae.